RNAcentral lists this transfer RNA (65 nucleotides) under Dipodomys ordii (Ord's kangaroo rat). It matches the Rfam family "tRNA". Rfam says of the family: Transfer RNA (tRNA) molecules are approximately 80 nucleotides in length. Their secondary structure includes four short double-helical elements and three loops (D, anti-codon, and T loops). The record is from Rfam by way of RNAcentral. Lineage: Eukaryota; Metazoa; Chordata; Mammalia; Rodentia; Heteromyidae.
GGUGGCUCAGUGGUGGAGCACUUGCCUAGCAUGCAUGAAGCCCUGGGUUCAAGUCCUCAGUACCA